CAGACUGCUGUCAUGCCGGCUGGCUAGGCUGCUCUGGAACCUGGGAUAUUGUAAUAGUUGCAGAAAUGAAGUAACAUCCAUGGAUAUGCAUAAAGGUCAAAACUCUGUGGAGUUUACUCCUAGAGUAGAAGAAUUAUCUGAUGUUCUUUUCCUCUGGCUGGGCUUCCUGUGAAGAUUCCUUUGUAACACAUUUUCUCAAUUAAAAGAGGAGAGAGAGUGGGAGCUUAUGGGCCAGCUGGACUACACUCUACAGAGCUGCUUGGUUUCCUUGGAAUUCCCCCAGAGAUUUCAUCCAGUGGUUCUCUUCUUCCUUCGUGUUUUCAACAUUCAGCAUUCUUCAUCUAAUCCAUAGAAAUGUUAUGAUACAUGUCAUUAGAUAGUCCAGGUGGCUUCUUGGCUUCUCCAACGCUGUUCUUUUGGUCAUUUCUUUGGGUUUCUCAACCAACAUCUGUCCACACCACCUUAGAUCUUACUAUAGGAAGCCAUGACAUUUUUCAGCAUCUUCCUUUGCCUUUGCUCCUAUGGUCUCUGAGGUACAUCUUUUAAGAAAUCUAUAUUGUGUGUGAAUUUGACAUCAAUACUGUAACAUGGCUAGACCUCUGGGAGUUUCUGUCCUUAAUCUGUGCUUUCAGUUUUACAACUUCCUGUCAUCCUCAAAAUAAUAUCAUGAUCAUUGUUACCCAGAAGUUUCCCAGAUAUGUUAUCAAAAGACCUUACUUCUCCUGGGCCCUUUGCUCCUGAUGGACAUGUCUCUGCUUUACAUUCUCUGUCAGAAUUGAAGAUGGUAUGUGUUGGCUUGGUUUUUGGCUGGCUCUCUGCAAUCUCCAGAGCUUUGUGAACCAGCUUUUCUGACAUGCCUUUUGGUUGCCGAAUAGUCAUGACUGUCUUCAACACACUUGCCUUGAACAUUUAUACCUAAUGGAUUUUACAAAGUAAAAUAUCUGAAAUGCUUUCCUUGGCUUCUUUCUAGAAAAGAGAUGUGCAGUUGCGUAAAUCAUGCCUUUCGUCCUCUGAAGCAUCAUCUAUCCUCUGGGUGUUAUGGUAACUACCAUCGUCAAAGCCUACAUUGCAUAGAGCCUUAAGACUUUCCUGUAUUUUAAAGGCAAAAGAGAGGAAGUGAGGUAUCUACUUUCCUCUUCUGAAAUGUGUUUAGACAUCACUGUAUGACCAUGACUCUGGGAAAUGAAUUGUCAAAUAUACAAGAAAAUCUUGCAUAACCAUGUUCAUUGAUAUACCAGUCAAAAGAGUCAUAAUCUGGAAUUAUCUUGGGGUCAACAGCAGCAAAGUAGAUGAACCAAAAUGCUUCACAUGUACAACAGAACUUUCUGUAUCUAUAAAGAAAAAUAUAGUUGUGACCUUGGCAGGAAAACAAA
Molecule: non-coding RNA, 1373 nt
Organism: Cricetulus griseus (Chinese hamster)
Lineage: Eukaryota; Metazoa; Chordata; Mammalia; Rodentia; Cricetidae
Source: RefSeq, a predicted model, not a curated record